RNAcentral lists this ribosomal RNA (484 nucleotides) under uncultured bacterium. RNAcentral describes it as "partial 16S ribosomal RNA". It matches the Rfam family "Bacterial small subunit ribosomal RNA", at positions 30 to 507 of the family's 1533-position model. The record is from RNAcentral.
AUUGAACGCUGGCGGCAGGCCUAACACAUGCAAGUCGAGCGGAUGAAGGGAGCUUGCUCCUGGAUUCAGCGGCGGACGGGUGAGUAAUGCCUAGGAAUCUGCCUGGUAGUGGGGGAUAACGUCCGGAAACGGGCGCUAAUACCGCAUACGUCCUGAGGGAGAAAGUGGGGGAUCUUCGGACCUCACGCUAUCAGAUGAGCCUAGGUCGGAUUAGCUAGUUGGUGGGGUAACGGCCUACCAAGGCGACGAUCCGUAACUGGUCUGAGAGGAUGAUCAGUCACACUGGAACUGAGACACGGUCCAGACUCCUACGGGAGGCAGCAGUGGGGAAUAUUGGACAAUGGGCGAAAGCCUGAUCCAGCCAUGCCGCGUGUGUGAAGAAGGUCUUCGGAUUGUAAAGCACUUUAAGUUGGGAGGAAGGGCAGUAAGUUAAUACCUUGCUGUUUUGACGUUACCAACAGAAUAAGCACCGGCUAACUUCGUG